CCUUCUCCUUGAAGGUCUUGGAGUUCACGAGAAGCUCGUGCUCCUCUUCAUCGUCGUCGCUGUCGUCACCAUCUCCGCAGCGGUGGAGGAAUGGGAGGAGCGAGGCCAAGGAGGUAUGGGGUGCUGGCGAUAGAGAGCUGUGGGGAGAGCGGAGAGGCGGUGGUGCAACAUGGGAGUACCUCAAGCUCAUGCUCGAAGACUUUUUCUUUGGAGGUCUUGGAGUUUGUGAGGAGCCCACACUCCUCUUUGUCGUUGUCGGCAUCUCCACGGUCAUGGGAGGAAUGGGAAGAGCCUAUUAGGAUGGGAGGAGGGGAGGCAGCGGUGGAGCUAGCCUCUAUUGGUGGUGCCACUGCGGUCGGAG
This 361-nucleotide long non-coding RNA is filed under the name Elaeis guineensis (African oil palm). RNAcentral's name for it is "long non-coding RNA (EGUI_LNC063657)". The record is from RNAcentral. Lineage: Eukaryota; Viridiplantae; Streptophyta; Magnoliopsida; Arecales; Arecaceae.